This 966-nucleotide long non-coding RNA is filed under the name Helianthus annuus (common sunflower). RNAcentral describes it as "hypothetical non coding rna". The record is from RNAcentral. Lineage: Eukaryota; Viridiplantae; Streptophyta; Magnoliopsida; Asterales; Asteraceae.
AUGAAAUGAGUUAAGCUAAAAGAUUUAAAGAAAAAAGGAAACAUGUCCUAUGGGUUACAACUUGAAAAUGAUCGAAAAAGUAUUCAAAUGGAUAAAUUUCUUUAAAAUGGUUUACUAAGAAAAGUUAAGAUUAUAAUUGUAAUAAUAUAGUGGUGUACAUUUAUGGUCAUGUUUAAUAUUUUCUAUCUAUAGAGUUAAAAAAUAGAGAAAGGGUGUGAAAUGGCCCAAUGUAACCCAUCUCGACUCUCAACAAAAAACCUCGUUUUGAUCCGGACCCAAUUUGGCAAGUUUCCCAACCUGCCCAUUUUGCCAACCUUGAUAACAAAGCUAAAGGUGUAGUGCAAAACCAAUCUAUUUUGAGUAGAACUUAACUUUGCAAGUUAUCCAAAAUUCACCCUCAGUGAUAGUUGCACAUAUGCGUAUAUCUCUUGAAUUUGACAUCAUUAAUCAUUAUAUAACAUAUAAUAUAACAUCAAAGCUGGCGUGAAUGGAACCGCAACUGCCUUGUAGACACCUUUACGGUUCAAUACAAAGCUAAAUGGGGUCUUGACCAAUCGGAAACUGAAAACCAAGCCUUUGCUCCAUGUACGUGAUUUAAUGGCGUAUGCUUUGUUUUGGACUACACUUCUAGGCUGUAGCAUAUAUCAAUACAAAUAUAUCAAACUGAAGUUUUAAAUCAUAGGGAACUUCACAUUUGAUAAUUCACCUUUCGGUUUUGAUUAAACUAGAUGAUGCUUGAAAGUGUAGGUGUGGGGGUGAUGUAAAAUGAGGAAGGUUUAAUGAGGAUACACUAUGCCUCAAUAGAUGCGGCCCAAUCAGACAUUUGCGUACUGUUCAUUAGGUUUGUUUUUUAAGUAUAGGAUAAUAUAUAAGUGAUGCUCUUUUGUGAACCGAAAAUGAAAAGAGGGUAUGUUUCGUUAUCUUUUAUCGGAACCCACAAACCCGUUUUGCUAAACGGUACGGGUC